RNAcentral lists this long non-coding RNA (2221 nucleotides) under Nicotiana tabacum (common tobacco). RNAcentral's name for it is "long non-coding RNA (NTAB_LNC004392)". The record is from RNAcentral. Lineage: Eukaryota; Viridiplantae; Streptophyta; Magnoliopsida; Solanales; Solanaceae.
UUUAUACAUUUAACUGGAAUUUAUGAUAUUAAAAACUGAGACAUAACAACUUAAACAUUAACUGAAAUUUAUGAUAUUAAAACUGAGACAUAGCAACUUAAACAUUUGAAUCUAUAUCAGUACAUUGCUGUUUCAUUGGUGAUUCUUCACAAAAAAAAACAAAAACAAAAAUAAAGGUGACACCGAGUCACAAUAACAAAGCAACUAUUUAUUGUAUAUGCUUAUACACUAAACCUUACAAUUAAUAAAAUGCUUUUAAAAGCUUAGAAUAAACUGAAGAGAACUCAAAUUGCUUUGUAUCCAUUCAUUCUUAACUCAAAAUUAUAGUAGCACUUUAAGCGAAUUACCUGGAUAGCAGGAAGAAAAUGUCAGCAAGGGAGGAACUAAAUUUUAGCAACACAGUAACACAACAACAACAAAAUCAACAACUUAUGACCCAAGAAACAACUCAGAAAAAUAUAGCAAGAAAGUAUUUGAAACCAAUAGCUAUUCCCCCAUCUAGGAUUCCUCUAUUUUCUUACAAGUUUUAAGACUCUAAAAAAACAGUCACAAAGUUCAGAAUUUUCAGCUUACUAUUCCAUAUGUUCAGCUGAUCUUUUGACCUCAAAAUGAUGUUCUUUUAUUGUAUAAAAGAUGUCCAUUUCAAGUGUGUUCAAGCAACUUUAAAGAUGUUAUCAAAGUGUGUAGAUAGUGUGGAGAAGGACUCUUGGGACAGAUUUAUUUGGCCAAAUAUUUAUCCAAAAUAAUAGAUUUUUGACCAAAAAUCUGUCCAAACCAGAAUUUUUGUCUAAUGAAUAGUUUUCCUCACCAAAUCUGAACAGUCUUUUGGAGUAUUAUACUCCAAAGUAGUCCUCAAUAGUAAAAGCAACCAAACAAAGGUCCUACACUCAAGUACCCCCUUACUACCCUUCCCCUUUAUCUUCAAUUCAUUCAUUCAACAGAAAUGGACUACAAACCAGACUUGGAUUGGCCAAAUAUGGUAUUAAAAGGGCAGAACUUUACCAAAAAAUCAAACUCAAACAAUUAAGCUAAGCCAAACAAAAGCAUACAACAUAUAUAUUAAGAACACUUUAACUUGAUGUUAAAUUUGAUCAUGAAACAUUGCAUCUCAAACAAAACGAUCCUAAUUGAGUGAAUGAUCAACUACAAAAAGAAAACCUAGCAAUUGGGGAAUCUAACGAGUGACUAACUAUCUUAGUUAAAUGUUUAACUAUAUCAACAGACUAUGUUAAACAUGAAUUUACCAUAGUGAACAAUAAUCACAUGAGAAACUAACUUUAAACCUUCAAUUUAACUAAACUGACUAGUGAUUUUGUUGCAAAAUGCUGAAACUUGAGUUAAUUAGCACGACGAAUUAAACGUGAAAUAGUAGAAACUGCAAUUGAAGCUAAAAUUUACAAACUUGAAUCUAAAACUAAAUUCAAACGCCACUAUCAAGACUUAUGAGAUAGGAAUCCGAACAACACAAUAAUUUGAAAUCAACGAGCGACGACUAAUCAUUACUGACUCUCAACUUACUAACAACUAACUAAAGAUAAAUAAAACAUAUGAACGAACAAAGAAGAAUCAUUAGAAAUUUAGACCUAAGAAAACUAUAAUGAAACAGAAAGAAAAAAAGAAAGAAAAGGGACAUAAGAGAUUAGGGUGCACCAGAAACUCGAGUGUUCGAGACAGUGGUGGUGCGGCAGUGGUGGCGAUUCAGGCAGUUAUGGAUGAAGUUUUGACGUCGGCGUUCUCUUCUUGUUGCUGGCCCGUCACUAUCAACUCCAAUCAAACCGAAGUCCAAUAACGAACUCAGCAACAAAAAAGGCUUGCUCGAGCCAAAGUAGAAGUAACCGGCAACCUGCCGGAAUUUAGCCACCAGAGUUUCGACUUCAAACCAAGAAAGAACAGUAGAUUAGGGGAAGAACUACACACUCAUAUAGGUAUUAAGUAGUGAUGAGGUCUCAAACUUGACGAAUUUGAGGAAAAAUAGGCGGCUAGGGUUUCCAUUUUUUGAAGAUUCAUGGAGAUUAAGAUGGAGUUUGAAGAUUUGGGGUUCAGUAAAGGAUGAAGAGACGAGGAAAGGGUGAACGUUUGGUGGUGUUUGGAGCAUCACCGACGGCGGCGCAUGGUGAUGGUAGUGGAGGAGGAGGAAACUUAAAAGAGGGGUUAGAAAGAGAGGAGAGAUGGCAAGUGAGAGGAGGGAAAUAGAUAAUAGGGCAAAAUGAGGGCAAAUUUU